RNAcentral lists this long non-coding RNA (216 nucleotides) under Elaeis guineensis (African oil palm). RNAcentral describes it as "long non-coding RNA (EGUI_LNC056238)". Lineage: Eukaryota; Viridiplantae; Streptophyta; Magnoliopsida; Arecales; Arecaceae. The record is from RNAcentral.
UGCAUAUUCUUUAGGGCCUUAUCUUAAAGAGUGCAUGGCCAUCACGUGCUCGAUCUGGAUGCUGGAUUUGGGACGUGAUAGAGUGGUAUCAGAGCCUAUGUUUAAGGUCAUUAGAAACUGUGAUAUAAGUGAUAUCAAAACUUUUGAUUAUAAUCAAUAGAGUAUGAUAGGUAAUAUCAGAACUUAGGUUAAAGAUCAUAAGAACUUAGAUUAUUG